Molecule: transfer RNA, 73 nt
Filed under: Mesocricetus auratus (golden hamster)
Lineage: Eukaryota; Metazoa; Chordata; Mammalia; Rodentia; Cricetidae
Rfam family: tRNA
About the family: Transfer RNA (tRNA) molecules are approximately 80 nucleotides in length. Their secondary structure includes four short double-helical elements and three loops (D, anti-codon, and T loops).
Source: Rfam by way of RNAcentral
GGGCAUGUAAUUCAGUUGGUAGAAUGUUUUUCUAUGAUAUGGAAGGUCUUGGGUUCAAGCCCUGGCAUAUCUC